RNAcentral lists this ribosomal RNA (465 nucleotides) under Vreelandella stevensii. RNAcentral's name for it is "partial 16S ribosomal RNA". It matches the Rfam family "Bacterial small subunit ribosomal RNA", at positions 338 to 795 of the family's 1533-position model. Lineage: Bacteria; Pseudomonadati; Pseudomonadota; Gammaproteobacteria; Oceanospirillales; Halomonadaceae. The record is from RNAcentral.
CCUACGGGUGGCAGCAGUGGGGAAUAUUGGACAAUGGGGGCAACCCUGAUCCAGCCAUGCCGCGUGUGUGAAGAAGGCCCUCGGGUUGUAAAGCACUUUCAGUGAGGAAGAACGCCUGGUGGUUAAUACCCAUCAGGAAAGACAUCACUCACAGAAGAAGCACCGGCUAACUCCGUGCCAGCAGCCGCGGUAAUACGGAGGGUGCGAGCGUUAAUCGGAAUUACUGGGCGUAAAGCGCGCGUAGGUGGCUUGAUAAGCCGGUUGUGAAAGCCCCGGGCUCAACCUGGGAACGGCAUCCGGAACUGUCAAGCUAGAGUGCAGGAGAGGAAGGUAGAAUUCCCGGUGUAGCGGUGAAAUGCGUAGAGAUCGGGAGGAAUACCAGUGGCGAAGGCGGCCUUCUGGACUGACACUGACACUGAGGUGCGAAAGCGUGGGUAGCAAACAGGAUUAGAUACCCUGGUAGUC